AGUGAACGCUGGCGGUAGGCCUAACACAUGCAAGUCGAACGGCAGCACAGUAAGAGCUUGCUCUUACGGGUGGCGAGUGGCGGACGGGUGAGGAAUACAUCGGAAUCUACUUUUUCGUGGGGGAUAACGUAGGGAAACUUACGCUAAUACCGCAUACGACCUACGGGUGAAAGCAGGGGAUCUUCGGACCUUGCGCGAUUGAAUGAGCCGAUGUCGGAUUAGCUAGUUGGCGGGGUAAAGGCCCACCAAGGCGACGAUCCGUAGCUGGUCUGAGAGGAUGAUCAGCCACACUGGAACUGAGACACGGUCCAGACUCCUACGGGAGGCAGCAGUGGGGAAUAUUGGACAAAGGGCGCAAGCCUGAUCCAGCCAUACCGCGUGGGUGAAGAAGGCCUUCGGGUUGUAAAGCCCUUUUGUUGGGAAAGAAAAGCAGCAGGUUAAUACCCCGCUGUUCUGACGGUACCCAAAGUAUAAGCACCGGCUAACUUCGUG
This 492-nucleotide ribosomal RNA is filed under the name uncultured bacterium. RNAcentral describes it as "partial 16S ribosomal RNA". It matches the Rfam family "Bacterial small subunit ribosomal RNA", at positions 29 to 507 of the family's 1533-position model. The record is from RNAcentral.